UUACUGGCUCAGAACGAACGCUGGCGGCGCGUUUAAGCAUGCAAGUCGAGCGGCAAGGGCCUUCGGGCCCCUAGAGCGGCGGACGGGUGAGUAACACGUGGACAAUCUGCCCCCCGGCCCGGGAUAGCCCAGGGAAACCUGGAUUAAUACCGGAUGAGACGGGACCCGCGAUGGCGGGACCCGGGAAAGGCGCUGCGGCGCCGCCGGGGGAUGAGUCUGCGUCCCAUUAGCUAGACGGCGGGGUAACGGCCCACCGUGGCGACGAUGGGUAGCCGGCCUGAGAGGGUGGACGGCCACAUUGGAACUGAGACACGGUCCAGACUCCUACGGGAGGCAGCAGCUAAGAAUCUUCCGCAAUGGGCGAAAGCCUGACGGAAGCGACGCCGCGUGAACGAAGAAGGCCGUGAGGUUGUAAAGUUCUUUUCGGGAGGGGGAACAACCGUGGCAGGGAAUGGCCGCGGGAUGACGUGAAUCCCGGAAUAAGCCCCGGCUAACUACGUGCCAGCCGCCGC
Molecule: ribosomal RNA, 512 nt
Filed under: uncultured bacterium
Lineage: Bacteria
Description: bacterial SSU rRNA
Rfam family: Bacterial small subunit ribosomal RNA
Source: RNAcentral